Long non-coding RNA from Corticium candelabrum, 880 nucleotides. RefSeq lists it as uncharacterized. The record is from RefSeq and is a predicted model, not a curated record. The transcript has 2 exons. Lineage: Eukaryota; Metazoa; Porifera; Homoscleromorpha; Homosclerophorida; Plakinidae.
ACACACACACACACACACACACACACACACACACACACACACUGAACACACACACUGAACACACACACACACACACACACACACACACACACACACACACACACACACACUGAACACACACACACAGCAUAAAAUAAUGGCCGGCCAUGGGCCAAUGAAAAAAUUUCACUGCCAUUUGACAUGAUAAUUACUGAUAGUUACCUACAGCAAACCCAUCACAGUGAGGGUGCUCUUUCACAACGCCAACACUCUACAUUCACAUUAUACUCUGUAAUUCAGUCUCUCCUAACAGCAAAAAACCAGGAAACUCAACAGAAGUUUCACCAUGUAGAGGCCAGAGGCACAUGUACGUCUGUUGGCACGUCUGUUGGCGUUGACCAGGACGUGCUAAAGAAUGGAGAGCCCGUGGGAAAAUUCCUGUAUCUCGGCAAGUACGCCCCCUAUGCCGUUGAUAAACAUAUCAUUCGAGAGCACGUGACUAGGUGGAGUCAGAUCUCUGGACAAAUGAACUCUAUAGAUCCUGGGACUAUCUCUUCACUGUUGAAGAGUUCUCCUCACCUACUAAUUUUUCUACCGCUUGUUCGAGCACGCCGUCUGAUGUUCUGUAAUAGUUUUCCACUUUCUGGAUGACGUGGUCGACACACUUCUUUCAUUUCGCUGCCAUCACAUUUUCAACGCUUUCUCUGGCCAGUUUGAAUGGCAGAAAACGGUUGAACAGGACGGACCUUGACGUACUACAGUAGAUAGAUAGUAGGCAGUGAGGGCUGGCUAGCAACCAGUACUCUAAAUGCUCAUUUAUCGAUUGUUAGUAUUACAAUCCAGGAUGAUAGCAAUAUUGUUGUUUUCGCCCUAUAUGCCUUUAAUAUAUCUGGUAACCACA